This 327-nucleotide unclassified non-coding RNA is filed under the name soil metagenome. RNAcentral describes it as "partial contains 5.8S ribosomal RNA, internal transcribed spacer 2, and large subunit ribosomal RNA". The stretch from base 1 to 120 matches the Rfam family "5.8S ribosomal RNA", at positions 35 to 154 of the family's 154-position model. The record is from RNAcentral.
GAUGAAGAACGUAGCGAAAUGCGAUAAGUAAUGUGAAUUGCAGAAUUCAGAGAAUCAUCGAAUCUUUGAACGCACAUUGCGCCCCUUGGUAUUCCGAGGGGCAUGCCUGUUCGAGCGUCAUUAUCACCCCUCAAGCUUUGCUUGGUGUUGGGGCCUGCUGUAAUAGGCAGCCCUUAAAAUCAGUGGCGGUGCUUCAAGGCUCUAAGCGUAGUAAUUCUCCUCGCUAUAGUGUCUAGUGGUUGCCAGCCAGAACCCCCCAAUUUUCAUGAUUGACCUCGGAUCAGGUAGGGAUACCCGCUGAACUUAAGCAUAUCAAUAAGCGGAGGA